UUCUGUCAAUAAUACACAGUGCUGCUUGUCAUUUGUGUGCUUCGAUUGUUUGCUUUACUGUUUCCUAACGUUUUAUUUUGGACUCUGAAGGAAUUUAAUUCAAAAUAAGUUAUUCUAAUUUUAGUGACUGAUGUAUUGUUAGUUAACUUUCUCUGUGCAUUUGCGUCUAUUAGUUUAGUUUAUGCGUGCAGCCGUGCGAUCAUUAUUUUGUAUUUAAAGUAAAUAAUAACGCAACAAUAAAUUAAUGUUUUUGAAUAAUAAGGACGAUAAAACCCGGGCUUUAGUGUAACUUAACAACACUCAAAUGCCAAUUGCCGCUGAAAUUUCGAUGACAAAUUCAAUCGGGGUGUGUGUGAGAGCGCGGUGGGACUAUGUUGUUUCUCAGUGCCUUAGCGAUCGGUAUGAUAGGUGGGCUGCAGAAUGUGACCACGGAGGCGCCCGCUCCCAGCAGUGACGGCAGCGCGGUGACGAGCGUGGCGGAGCGGGCGGUGCGCGAGAUGGGGCUGGUGGAGACGACCAAGUUGUCGGGCCAGUCGGGGGACCUGGUGAACGUGACGGUGCACGAGCGGCCCUCCAUGUGGGACAUGUACCUGAACCACUGCCCGAAGUGGCGGCCGGUGAACCAUGUGUUUUUCCAAGUGGCCAAUGUGUUCUUCCUGCUGUCGUUCCUGGCGCCGCACACGGCGAGCGGGCUGGUGUGGCUGCGCGUGGCGCUGAUGCUGGGCUGCGCCUUCUCCGCCAUGUGGGCGUGGAGCAUCGAGUGCUACCUGGACGCUGUGCUCUGGAACAGUGCUUUCAUUGUGAUAAACUUCAUUUACUUCUCCAUACAGUUUUAUUUGAUGCGCCCCAUCAAGUUCCACAAGGAUAUUGAGGAGGUAUACGUGGCACUGUUCAAGCCACUGCGUGUCUCCAGACGGCAGUUCCGUCGCGUGUUGAUGUGCAUGCGCAACGUGCGGCACUUAAAGUGCCACGAGUUGUACGCACACGAGAAGGUCACUAAAGUGGACAGUCUCUCCUUAGUGCUGUCUGGCAAACUAGUGGUGUCUCAGAAUCAGCGGGCGCUGCACAUAGUGUUUCCUCAUCACUUUCUCGACUCGCCUGAAUGGUUUGGCGUGUCCACAGAUGAGUUUUUUCAGGUGUCAAUAAUGGCGAUGGAGGAGUCUCGCGUGCUGGUGUGGCAUCGCGACAAGCUGAAGCUCUCCAUCAUGUCGGACGCCUUCUUGCAAGCAGUCUUCGAUCACAUACUCGGUCGAGACGUUGUUCAUAAACUCAUGCAGGUGAGCGAAACGAUGGCAGUAUCGAACGGUCACCUGCCGAACAGCUAUGAGGAGGGCGAGGACAAACCCAUGCUAGUUGUGAAGAAGGCGGGCGACGGACCCGGCAUCACCGCCUUGCUGAACCGGCAAUUACAAGGCGAGCACGCGCCGCUGCUGCGCGCGCCGCCGCCCGCGCCCUACUGAAUACUGACACUCUGACUCCGAUACACUCCCAUCGCACCACUGUCCGCUACCAAACUGCCAGACCUGCUUGUAACCCCACCUGCCCUCGAUUUUAUGCUUCAGAUUUUAUACAAAAAGUAAAGAAAUUUUCAGAUAAAAGAAAACAAAGAAUCUUUAAUGUAACUUAAAAAUAUUAAACUUGGCGUAGAUACUGCCAUUUUCGUAACAUUAUAUUUUUUACAACAGUAUUACUGUCUUAAAGCAUAAAAUAAAUCCUUUCCUAUAAACCUGAUCCCAUAUAAUCACCAUAUUCAUGCAAAGCAGUUCAGAAGUUAUUGAUGAAAUACAGACCUAAACUUAGGUCUUGUAUCAAAUUCAAACCCACCUAAGUAUAUGUAUAGAUAAAUAAAAAAAUAGUCUGCUAUGUCUGCAAAAAGCUUAAUAUUCUCAUUUAAACAUUUUUUAAAUAUUUUUCUUCAAUACUUCUUACUGUAAUCACAUCACAUUUAUCUUCAUACAUAUCUCAUAUGCAUAUCCCUAUAUUUAUUAAACUUUAUCUUAUAUUCUAUGUAAGUAUAUAUAUGGAGCUGCGUGGUGAUGGGUUUUAUUUACUUCGAUAGUAUUAUAAGGCUUUAUAUUAACUAUAUUAAGAUUUAAUACCAAUCCAUGCCGGACUACCUACUUAUCUGAAUUCGUUUAUUUGUUUCAGGCGAUUAUGAGCCGUAAUAUUAAAGUAUAUAGAGUAUAUUUUAAUAUCACAUCUAUAAAUAAGAUAAUUAUAUUUAAGUCAUUUCUAUGUCCUAUAUUCAGACCUGUCUUGUCCCUGUAAUUUUUUUAACUUGACUCUGUUUUCUGGCAUGGAAUUUUUAUCUAUAUAAGAGAAAAUAUAGCAAUAAUUAUAUCAAACUGCCUACAUAUCCUGCCUUUAUAUCAUAAAAAUAAUAUUUUAUUAUAUAUUUUAAUAACGUGUGAUAACAAUCAUGACAUUUUUAUUAAUAUCGCUUUAAUAAUAAGCUUUUCAUAGCGUAGCAUUAAAAAAGUACAUCGUUUGACGUGUUUAGAUGCAUAAUCAACCUUAUUCUUUGACUAUAAGGAUUCAUUUGUAUUGGUAGAAUAGUUUUUUAAACAAUUUAGUGCCUAGAGUGCCUAAUAAUAUAUGUAAGUAAUGUGUUUAAGUAAUACUGGCAUGUCUAGCCUCCUUUGAUUUGAGUAUUAAGUGUGUGACUAGUCUGUAAUCAGUUCAUAUUUACAUAUCUUUCAUAUAAUUAUGAGUAUGGUAUCGUAAUGUUGGUGCAUGUGAUUCGACUUUGAAUGGUCGGGAUGAGAAAACACAGAUAUCAUUUUUUCUAUGACUUUUGCUCCAAAAAGUCUUUUCGUAAGAUCUUCUUUCAAUUUCGUGAUUCGUUCGUUUUUAUUUUCCAUUGUUCCGUGAAGUCUUGUAUUGUAACUGACCGUAAAAUACUAUAAGGCAUUCAAUUAAUUUUCUCCCACCUUGUUCUAAAACAUAGCAAAAUUUAGUCUAAAAAGACUCAUACUCAAACCACAGACAAAAAUUCUAUGAUAAAAAUAAAAGAAUGUGUUUUCAAAUCCACGACCAAUAACUGUAUGCUUUAAUAAUAGUCGUUACCUUUACCCGCUAAGUAUGUAUAUGUAAGUUAUAUGUAGUUUGUAUGUAUAAGCUAUAAAUGCUAUAACACUCCCGUAGUCCCAUCCUAUGUCCGAACUCUCAAAGCAUGAUUGGAAGAUCGACAAUUCAAGCGACAGACCCAAACGCGUGGCGCCUGGGCCGAAUAGAGGAAGCCGACCACGAGACGCCCGUGUGAGGCCGGGCCUUGCACGUAGCGGUGCGCCCGCGCAUCAAACGCCCGCGCCGCUAGUGCAACAUACACCUUAACUCGUACGGCAUAAGGUUCACCAGACUGAGCCGGGCUCGUCGGACCUGGCUACCUCAAUAACGAACUCUAUGUCGAGGACUGUAGGAUACAAAGUCGAACGUUCAUAUCGUAUAUUAUUAUGUAGAUCUUAUUACAGGAAGUAAGUUGUGUGAAGUGCUGUGGCUUGAGCUGGAAGAUUGGAGUUGCGUGAGUCGAUGUUUUGGCGGUUUCCAUCGGUUCAUUAGUCGAUUAUAUUACUAUUUUCACUUACGAAUUAUAGUUUAAUAAUUCGAUUUUAGUGAUAAGAUAGAAUACAAUCUAGAUAUUCAGUCAAAGAUUUCUUGAAGUCAUUGUGUACUUGAAAAUCGACUAAAUUAUUUUUUAGUCGACUAAUUAGAAUAGCUGUAGCGAGACGACAUGAGUUCAUCAAAUCUUUACCUCAUAUAAUAAUAAUUAAUGCAUAAUAAUUUAAUCGAUAAAUCGACUAAUCGACUGUUGAACCGAUUGAAUGUCAGCCUAUUUAACUAUUUACACGUGUGAGAGCCAUCGUUACUUUGAACUUUUAUAUUGAUGUAUAACUACAAAGUACGAUGUUCCCUGACAUAGUAAACAAUGAUUUUUAAUAAGGAAUAGCUUAUAUGAUCUGAAACGAAAUAGCACAUUGAAAAAAGACUAGAAUCAUUAUUUUGUGUAUACUAUUUAUGUAGAUAGACAUAUUGUAACUAAAUAUUGAUUCGAUAUGGCGUCGUAUUGUCCCCAAUAAAAGUAUAAAACGAGAGGUUAUAUUUAAAGAAAUGUUUUGUGUAAAUACAUUAUAGAAAGAAUAUGUACGUGUAUAAAGAAUUGAGGAAAUUGUGUGUACAAAAUAUGUAUUCUAUUCGAUUCUUAGAGGCCAUGAUGUGGAAGCAAUACUUGCCUUCUAAAUGUCACAGUUUUAUUUAAUUCGAGGUAGCAUAAAAUAUUAAAUUACAUAUUACUUGACAUCGGUACUGCCGUAAAAUAACUCGUAUAAUAUGUAAGUGAUUGUAACUAUAUUUGUUCUGUCAAUAU
Spodoptera frugiperda (fall armyworm) is the source of this 4363-nucleotide RNA transcript. It is a transcript of the gene named blood vessel epicardial substance, with no coding region annotated. The transcript has 7 exons. NCBI's taxonomy places the organism in Eukaryota, Metazoa, Arthropoda, Insecta, Lepidoptera, Noctuidae. The record is from RefSeq and is a predicted model, not a curated record.